RNAcentral lists this ribosomal RNA (465 nucleotides) under uncultured Klebsiella sp. RNAcentral describes it as "bacterial SSU rRNA". It matches the Rfam family "Bacterial small subunit ribosomal RNA", at positions 338 to 795 of the family's 1533-position model. Lineage: Bacteria; Pseudomonadati; Pseudomonadota; Gammaproteobacteria; Enterobacterales; Enterobacteriaceae. The record is from RNAcentral.
CCUACGGGUGGCAGCAGUGGGGAAUAUUGCACAAUGGGCGCAAGCCUGAUGCAGCCAUGCCGCGUGUGUGAAGAAGGCCUUCGGGUUGUAAAGCACUUUCAGCGGGGAGGAAGGCGUUAAGGUUAAUAGCCUUGGCGAUUGACGUUACCCGCAGAAGAAGCACCGGCUAACUCCGUGCCAGCAGCCGCGGUAAUACGGAGGGUGCAAGCGUUAAUCGGAAUUACUGGGCGUAAAGCGCACGCAGGCGGUCUGUCAAGUCGGAUGUGAAAUCCCCGGGCUCAACCUGGGAACUGCAUUCGAAACUGGCAGGCUAGAGUCUUGUAGAGGGGGGUAGAAUUCCAGGUGUAGCGGUGAAAUGCGUAGAGAUCUGGAGGAAUACCGGUGGCGAAGGCGGCCCCCUGGACAAAGACUGACGCUCAGGUGCGAAAGCGUGGGGAGCAAACAGGAUUAGAUACCCUUGUAGUC